Molecule: long non-coding RNA, 575 nt
Filed under: Trifolium pratense (red clover)
Lineage: Eukaryota; Viridiplantae; Streptophyta; Magnoliopsida; Fabales; Fabaceae
Description: long non-coding RNA (TPRA_LNC006972)
Source: RNAcentral
CACUUUACUUUACCCAUUCUUCAAUCAAUUUUUUAUACAUAGUAGUAUAAUAAGAUUUUGAUUAAUUGGUUGAUUAGGCACGUUAUUAUAUUAAUUAACUUAAAAUGUAGGUAAAAGUGUGUGACAAAACAACGGUUGGUAAUGACUCAUACAACUUGUAGUUGUAAGCUCCACUCGCUUUUACAUGUACAAAUCAUUGACUUAAUUUGAGAGGCUUGGAUUCACAUCUUGAAUUUAUUCUCAAUUCUUUUCUUUGACAAUUGAUUCUCGAUCAAUAGUACUAAAGUGGAAGUUUGGAAUAUUACAUUAAGAAGUCAAAGUUGGUAUACCUAUAGACCCACCUUUCCACAUCUAUUGGGGUUUUCACAUUUAUAAUCACUUGUCUAUUUUAAUUCCAAUAAAUAGGGAUUUUUUUUCUUUUCUUGUUGUUAUUCGAUAUCUGGUUUAAGGACGGAUUAACUUAAGAGAUAUUAUUUCUACUAUUUUAAAAAAUAUAAAUAUAAAAAAAAAAUGUAUCAUCUUAAUUAACAUUUCAUCUUCUCUCUAUCGUCACAAUUAUUAAUUUCUACAAUCUC